GGGAGAGUGGACAUUCAGAAAGAAAGGGGCUGGUGGAGCCUGGGCUGCCUCCACCGGGAGAACCAUGUGUCCACCAGGCACAUGGGUUCCCAGCACUGGGGAUGAGUGUGACAGGACUUAGAAACCAGUGUCUAUUGGCCAUACUUUCAUUUGGAAGUAGGCGAGUAGAGCCAUCUUACCUGAGUGGGAAACUGCAGCUGACCGAGCCAGAAGCCACCCCGUCUGUGAAAUCAAAAAGCUGGACUGUGGCUGUUUACUUAAACAGCAUUUUUUCCUCAACUUCAAUCAAGAGAGUACCUAUGAAUAAUAAACAAUUUAAAUAAAUAAACCUAGCUCCAAUCUUCUCAAGAAGUAGUUGCUUUCAACAACUGUACAAAGAUAACACUGAGUCUGUCAGACAUGACAAAUGGGGGUCUAGUGGGGAAACGGGACGUUUGAAAAAGAAGGUUCAGGACAUGUGGACGGUGUGCAGGACAAGGCCAGAGCUCCUCUCUCCCAGGAGCCCUGGGCAGCACGGGGCCACGAGCUCAACCCUGGCUCCUAAGCCAAGGAAGAGUCCUGGACAGUGUGGAGGCUGCCGUCUACGACAUGAACACCCGACAGGGCACAGGACCCUCCUUUCGGGGAGAACAGCGUCGUCACCCCUCGUGCUCAUUCAGUCAGUCACCAUCCACACCCACCCGUCGGGGCACACUCCCAGAACUCCAAACAGCACCCCGCACAGGAUGGGGCCUAAGGAGCUUGUGCCCCAUGGACGACUCUUUUCACCUGCCAGGAAGGUGAGGGACAAACUGCCUCCACCUGUCCUGCCAAGACGGCAGGCAGAGGCCACACACCUACCUGUCCAGGUGAUAGGCAGGUGCAAGGCACAUACACACAUGCACCUGGACCAGGUGACGUGUAGGAACACACACAGGACACCAGGAAGCAGACGUAGAACUCCAGGAGGAGCAGGACGGUCACACCCCUAGGACAGAUGACACACAGUCCCUGCAGGCUGGGCCAGGUGAGGUGUGCCCAGAGGAUGCCAGGGGCCCCGG
RNAcentral lists this long non-coding RNA (1040 nucleotides) under Camelus dromedarius (Arabian camel). RNAcentral describes it as "lncRNA (ENSCDRG00005006353.1)". Lineage: Eukaryota; Metazoa; Chordata; Mammalia; Artiodactyla; Camelidae. The record is from RNAcentral.